RNAcentral lists this ribosomal RNA (384 nucleotides) under Dictyocoela roeselum. RNAcentral describes it as "bacterial SSU rRNA". It matches the Rfam family "Microsporidia small subunit ribosomal RNA", at positions 50 to 389 of the family's 1311-position model. Lineage: Eukaryota; Fungi; Microsporidia. The record is from RNAcentral.
AUGCAUGUGUAAGCGAAGCGAUAAGUGGAGCGGUGAAAGGCUCAGUAACGGGCGAUUUAUUUGAUCUCCUGGGACGGACAACAUCGGGAAACUGAUGGGAAAACGUCUAAGUUGCAGUUUUUUUUUGAUUGCGACGUAAACCUUUUGGUGCAGGAGAGUAAGAUGCCAUCCUAUCAGUUAGUAAGUAGGGUAAGGGCCUACUUAGACGAAGACGGGUACGGGGAAUGAGGGUUUGAUUCCGGAGAGGGAGCCUGAGAGAUGGCUACCAGGACCAAGGUCAGCAGCAGGCGCGAAAAUUAUCGAAGCCCGCCUAGGGGCGAUAGUGAGGAGACGUGUAUACGAAGUACGUGUAAAGACCGUACUAAUAACUGGAGGUCAAGUCUG